AGGUGCUGGAGGAAGACCAAGGAAGCACAACACGGGUAGCAGGAGGAGGAAUUUAUAAGCAUCAUUUAAAGCCUUGUGAUGAGCUACAUACUUGACACACAAAAGUUUAAAGAAUUCAGUGCUAACAAACCUGCACUACAAGAAGUGUUAAAGAAAUUCCUGAAGGCAGAAGAAAAUGACACCAGAUGGAAUUCUGAGUGGACAGAAAAGAAUAAAGCAUAUGUGAGAUGGUAUUAUUUGGAUACAUACACAGAAAGAAGAAAGACCACACAAUUGUACUCUUCAACAGGCAAGAUUGCCUGUCUCCAACUCCUGCUGAAUCUAAUCGUGCUGGACAUUGGGAAGAAAGCUUGCCAGGGAUAGAGCUCAGUGGUGCAGCACCUGCCUGGCAAGUGUUAGGUCGUGAAUUUGACUCCUGGAAUGGAGGCACUCAACAACUGAAUUUGACUUCCUACCACACACAAAACAAGAAAUGGUUAAUUAUUAUAUUUAUAACAGUUAAUGUUUAAUUGUUUGAUCAGUCUUCAUUCCU
This is a long non-coding RNA of Chinchilla lanigera (long-tailed chinchilla), 532 nucleotides long. RefSeq lists it as uncharacterized. The transcript has 3 exons. Lineage: Eukaryota; Metazoa; Chordata; Mammalia; Rodentia; Chinchillidae. The record is from RefSeq and is a predicted model, not a curated record.